UGGGGAAUAUUGCACAAUGGGGGGAACUCUGAUGCAGCCACGCCGCGUGAACGAAGAAGGCUUUCGAGUUGUAAAGUUCUUUUAUAUGGGAAGAUAAUGACGGUACUAUAAGAAAAAGCCGCGGCUAACUACGUGCCAGCAGCCGCGGUAAUACGUAGGGGGCUAGCGUUGUCCGGAAUCACUGGGCGUAAAGGGUUCGCAGGCGGAAAUGCAAGUCGGGUGUAAAAGGCAGUAGCUUAACUACUGUAAGCGUUUGAGACUGCAUAUCUUGAGAAGAGUAGAGGGAAGUGGAAUUUUUAGUGUAGCGGUGAAAUGCGUAGAUAUUAAAAAGAAUACCGGUGGCGAAGGCGACUUACUGGGCUCAUUCUGACGCUGAGGAACGAAAGCGUGGGUAGCAAACAGG
Molecule: ribosomal RNA, 403 nt
Filed under: Fusobacteriota bacterium
Lineage: Bacteria; Fusobacteriati; Fusobacteriota
Description: Fusobacteria bacterium partial 16S ribosomal RNA
Rfam family: Bacterial small subunit ribosomal RNA
Source: RNAcentral